GCUGAUCUAGCAUAAGUUAAGAAAAAAUGGAUAUGUACAAUAUUUUCUAUCAUUAUAACUAUACAUAAAACCUAUUAUGAAUUCAUAAAACAUUAAAAAAGGUACAUGAUUGCUAGCAUUUUGUUUAGAGAAUAAGAUGUACUGAUAUUUAUUCCAUCUUCUGACUAAUUCUUAGUCUUCAUUCCCCUAAUCUCAUUAUAAAACUUGGAAUAUACUACAUGAUCCAAUAAUUAAAAAUGAACAUCGUGACGAGCACCAAGGAGAAUUGAAGUUGUUGGGAUAAUUAAGUAGCUUAUGAGUAAGAAUGGUAGCUGGUGUGAGGCUAUAAAUACCAUCUCUCCCUAUGCCCUAAACCAUCACAAGCUAAGCACACUCUAAUCUCAGUUUAUCUGUGUUAAUUAAUCUCUGUGUGUUUAUAUCAUCGAUCAUGGGUGUUUUUGCUUUCGAUGAUGAGAACUCCUCUACACUGCCUCCAGCAAUAUUGUACAAAGCUCUAACAAAAGAUUCAGACAGCAUCAUCCCAAAGGUUAUUCCUGUCAUCCAGAGCAUUGAAAUUGUUGAAGGAAAUGGUGGACCUGGAACCAUCAAGAAGCUAACAGCUAUUGAAGGUCAGUGCAUAUAUAUAUAGAAAUUAACAAUGUUAACUCUUGUUUUAUGCUCAUAUUUACGCUGAGAAUUCAGAUUGGUUUUAUUAAGUAUCUAAGUGUGAGUAAUAUACAUAAGAAAGUUGAACAUCAUAUCAAGAUAUUGUAUUAAGAUUUUGGGUUUGAGUGGUACUAAUUUAUGAUGAUGGUUGCAGGUAGCGAAACCAGUUUUGUGCUGCAGAAAAUCGAUGCAGUGGACGAAGCUAACCUGGGAUUCGAUUACAGCAUAGUGGGAGGACCAGGGUUGCAUGAAAGUUUGGAGAAAAUCACACUUCAGACAAAGGUUUUGCCUGGUCCUGAUGGUGGUUCCAUCUCCAAGGUCGCUGUCAAAUA
RNAcentral lists this long non-coding RNA (977 nucleotides) under Vigna radiata. Its description in RNAcentral is "long non-coding RNA (VRAD_LNC003260)". Lineage: Eukaryota; Viridiplantae; Streptophyta; Magnoliopsida; Fabales; Fabaceae. The record is from RNAcentral.